Long non-coding RNA from Cyprinus carpio carpio, 3384 nucleotides. NCBI's taxonomy places the organism in Eukaryota, Metazoa, Chordata, Actinopteri, Cypriniformes, Cyprinidae. The record is from Ensembl.
GCCAGUUAACAGGAUUACAGUAAUCUGGCAAGGACACUUACUUUCCGUCUCCUUUAUGGCCAGUAGUGUGACUAGACUCUGCCACCAUUAAGGCAGUCCAUGGUGCAUUUUAGACACAAGAUAUAUGUGACCUAUGCAAGUAGCAUGUUUUAAGCACUGGAAAAUGUGCCCUCAAUAGACACUGUAAAAAAAAAAAUGUUGGUCCACUUUAGACUUUCUAACUAUAACUUUGCAAGAAACUUUCUACCUGCCUUAUCAUGGCCACGAAGUCCGCCAUUAAUCUGUUUAUGUUCUCUGUAUUGUUUCUGAUUCUGGAUAUCCUUUGACAUACUUGACGCUGUUCUCUGAUUAAUGCCUGUCUGACCAUUCUCUAAAUAAAUAUACUGCAAAGCGGAUCUGAACAUCUCUGACUCUGCAUCACAGUCUACAUACUUUUUUUAAAAUCUUUUUUUAUUUUCUGUCUUUUCUAUUUAGAGAUAAUUUGACCUUGAAUAAGACUUAUGAUAUGGACUGACAGUGACACUAUAUUUUACACAUCAACGCAGACAUUUACAGACAAUACAGUAUUUGAGGGUGGGAGCCAAACAGACCUUCAGUCCUGAAAAUGUCUUUGAUAUCUGGUCCUCUGGUAAAACCCUUUCUAUUAAGCUAGUUGUUUUGACAUUGUUUGGCAUGCUGUAAGCCCCUCAGAGCAAGAACAGUGCAUGGGUCACACUUACAUAAGCCGCUGACUCAAUCCAGUUUUUCCUUUUUUAGUGUCACUGUUUGUGUCUCCGGGCGAGUGGUCUGGUAUUAAUGCAUGAAUUUCUGUGUUUGUUUUAUGAAAGUCUUGGAGGUAUUCAUAGUAAUUGCAGUGUAGUUUCUCUUUGUAUAUCCUAUCCUUUUAAAGUAAAAAAAAAAAAAUUAUUUGUCUUAUAUUGUACAUUGCAACACCUCUUUUCAUCCUCUGCCUGAAAUGUCCUGGUUUAGAUCCCUUUCUUUAUAAAGCCCCCAUUCCAAAAUGCCCGGUCUCUGAAUGGUCAGUUGUGGCCCUGUCUGUUGUGAUUGGUCAACUGCUUAGAGUGUGUGGGAAAUGUAAUGCUACGGCCACACAUACUGUACACAGGGGCACAAAAAUGGGGUAUGCAGUAUAAUAUUUGCGGUGCAUGGGGCACCGCAUGAGAGUAAGGAGGCAUUUUACAUAUAAAACUGAAAAAUACAACACACAAAAAUUGUCACAGUGUCUGGUCUGUGUAUCCCUGGGUGUCCACUAGAGGUCUCACUUCCCAUUAUCGUCACCCCACUUCAGUACUACAUUUCCCACUAGCCUUAUCUGUUCAUCACUGUUUAUUGUAUUCAGCUGUCACCACUUACCUUGUUUGCACCUGUCUAUAAAUACCCUGGUUGUUUCUGUCAUUGUUACGGAGUCCUUGUGCAAUGUCACCCUGCUUUUCGUGUUUCCAUUCUGUUGUUUAUGUUUCUUGUUUUUGGACUGCUCACCUGGAUUUUGACCUUUGCCUGGCUGGAUUAUGAGUUUGGAUUAUUCUUAAUAAACACUGCAUUUGGAUCUACCUGUCUGUGUGCGUUUCGUGACAGAAGGACUCCGUCAAACCUAGAUCCAGCAGUAUGUUUUUUGAGGUUUCUCCCCCUGCCAUCGAGCGGGAGAGAAGGAGUGGGUUCGAGGGAACCCGCCUGGUCGUUUUUCGUGGGACCCGGGGAGGUCGCAGAGGAGUGAGUGGUCGAGAGGAGGUCCGGCAUCGCUCUCCACCAGGGCCCCCCUUCGACCCUGGGCUCGUGAGGGACGGAUCGGAACUGCCGUAUCUCCAUCACGGACAGAGAAGGGGGAGGAAGCACACGUCUGUCGUUCCUGAGACCGUUCACGUUACGUCUGCCGAGCCUGUGUCUUCGGACAAGACGGCCGCGGAAACAUUCUUGGACUAUUUUUCUGUGCUGUCCAAGAUCCUAGAGAUUCCCAACAGUGUUCAUGUCACGGCUGCUGAGCCAGCACCACAGUCCAGGAUGGUAGCCAACCCAGCGCCACAGCACAAGAUGGCCGCCAGCUCAGCGUGCCCAGCGCCACAGCACAAGAUGGCCGCCAGCCCAGCACCACAGCACAAGAUGGCCGCCAGCCCAGUGCCAUUGCACAGGAUGGCCGCCAGCUCAGCGUGCCCAGCGCCACAGCACAAGAUGGCCGCCAGCCCAGCACCACAGCACAAGAUGGUUGACUCAACGCCUGAGUCUUCCGUCAAGGAGCCACCGGCACGCCAUCAUAGAGGCCGCAGGAGGAGGAGACAGGCGUCAGCCGUUCCUCAAAGCCCGGAGGACGUUCCCGAGCAGGCCGCUGCCGUCCAGGAGGACGUUCCCGAGCAGGCCGCUGCCGUCCAGGAGGACGUUCCCGAGCAGGCCGCUGCCGUCCAGGAGGACGUUCCCGAGCAGGCCGCUGCCGUCCAGGAGGACGUUCCCGAGCAGGCCGCUGUCGUCCAGGUGGACGUGCCCAAGGUUCUGGAGGUCGAGGCGGUGCCCGAUGCUGUUCUGGAGGUCGAGGCGGUGCCCGAUGCCGUUCCGGAGGCCGAGGUGGUGCCCGAUGCCGUUCCGGAGGUCGAGGCGGUGCCCGAUGCCGAGGCAGUGACCGAUGCUGUUCCGGAGGUCGAGGCGGUGCCCGAUGCCAUUCCGGAGGUCGAGAUGGUUCCGGAGGUCGAGAUGGUUCCUGAGGCCGAGGCGGUGGCCGAUGUCCAAAGCCGUUCCCGAGGCGGUGUCCAAUGCCGUGACCUGGCCAUCGCCACAGUCUGCUCCUCACUGGCUCUCCGAAUGGCAGGUUCCGUUCGGGCCACUCAAAUGGCGAAUUCCUCCCUGGCCAUCUGCACAACGAGAAUGGACUGAUCCACCGUGGCCACCUGAACUGCCUGGCCCCUCGUGGUCCCCUGAACUUUCGGGUCCACCGUGGCCCUCUGAUCUGACCGAGCCACCUUGGCUGCCAGGGGAGCCAUCGCUGCCGGUCCCAGUUCCCCUACACGGGCCUGGCCCGCCAUCCCUCCCCCUGUUCUGCCUCCACCAGUCCACCUCCCUCCUGGUCUCGUUGUUUUGUUUUGGUUGUUGUGUUCUGGGGAGCAUCUGGAAGCUGCUCCUUAGAGGGGGGCUAAUGUCACAGUGUCUGGUCUGUGUAUCCCUGGGUGUCCACUAGAGGUCUCACUUCCCAUUAUCGUCACCCCACUUCAGUACUACAUUUCCCACUAGCCUUAUCUGUUCAUCACUGUUUAUUGUAUUCAGCUGUCACCACUUACCUUGUUUGCACCUGUCUAUAAAUACCCUGGUUGUUUCUGUCAUUGUUACGGAGUCCUUGUGCAAUGUCACCCUGCUUUUCGUGUUUCCAUUCUGUUGUUUAUGUUUCUUGUUUUUGGACUGCUC